This 589-nucleotide long non-coding RNA is filed under the name Glycine max (soybean). RNAcentral's name for it is "long non-coding RNA (GMAX_LNC002793)". Lineage: Eukaryota; Viridiplantae; Streptophyta; Magnoliopsida; Fabales; Fabaceae. The record is from RNAcentral.
AAUUGCUUAACUUAAUGGGAGAGAACACCGGGCUUGGUUCCGUACUCCCUCAAUCCAAGAAGGAACUCCACAAGCAAGGAACCAUUACUUUCCGAGCAUAUUAGCGAAAAGGCUCAUACAGAGGCAAGGAGGCCAAAAGCUUUCUUUAUUUGUUAGCUUCCCGAAGAGAGGAGAUGCGUCUUCGAAUCAACCCUUGAACCUAACCCUCGGAAGGAUGGUCUUGGCUGUCCUUUGGCUUAUUCCCCGAUCGGAAUGGACAACUGGUGACCUCGGGUGAGGGGCACGAAGGUAAUCAGUCUUGCUUUCCAGUCUCACCCAAGAGUCCCCGAAAGGGCCACUAGUAAGACUCUAUCUUAUCUUCGAUUACUAUACUAUUUUCUUAAUUGAUGUAUGUAGUUUCAUAUCAUAGAAGAAUUACGGGAAUGGAAUUCAGGCUGAAAAGCGCGAGACACAGAGUAAGGGGUUUACAGAAAGUGGAAUGUGGAAUGGAUAAAGAGAAGAAGAGGUCGACUAGGGCGCCAACUAAGGGCCAAAGAGACAAAGAACCACCAGCGGCUCCACCGAGUUUCCCCGGUAGCCUACCAGUGAG